This 324-nucleotide long non-coding RNA is filed under the name Mus caroli (Ryukyu mouse). Its description in RNAcentral is "lncRNA (MGP_CAROLIEiJ_G0004232.1)". Lineage: Eukaryota; Metazoa; Chordata; Mammalia; Rodentia; Muridae. The record is from RNAcentral.
AGUAGGACAGGCUCCUAGACAGGAAGACAAAGGGCCUCCAGAACAUGGGUGGAAGCCUCGUAAUAAAAUGAGAGGAGGAUUCACAAGCACCCCUCAUCCCCAAAUCUGAAUCAAUUCUACCAUCUUAGUUCACCAUCUGCAGAAGAUGCUGGAUGCAAGCAACUUCAAGGAAAACCAGGUGAAUGAAUCUGUGGAAGGAAGAAUUGGGCUAUUCCAGCUACUCCUACUCCUGUUUGCCAGUGCUCGAAAACUGCUUUAAAAGAGAGCCAUUCUAUUUGCUGUGAUGGAAGAAAAUGAGACCAUGCAAAUAUCUGUGGAUGAAGG